This 70-nucleotide transfer RNA is filed under the name Marmota monax (woodchuck). Its description in RNAcentral is "tRNA.Ala". The record is from RNAcentral. Lineage: Eukaryota; Metazoa; Chordata; Mammalia; Rodentia; Sciuridae.
GGGGUUGUGGCUCAGUGGUAUAGCAUCGUCUAGCACAUGCGAGGCGCUGGGUUCAAUCCUCAGCACCACA